This 173-nucleotide long non-coding RNA is filed under the name Junco hyemalis (dark-eyed junco). RNAcentral's name for it is "lncRNA (ENSJHYG00000009889.1)". Lineage: Eukaryota; Metazoa; Chordata; Aves; Passeriformes; Passerellidae. The record is from RNAcentral.
AUUCUGUGCAGUCACACUUUACAGUAAUGUGGUUUUCCAUAAGUCAUUGCACAGCUUGUGGAAAUAUGUAACAUUUCUGUGGUGCAGCAGGGUGGGAGGCAGAAAAUCUGGAUCUUAUUACCAGUUUGGCCAUGGUCUUCCUAUGUGAACACGGGUAAGUAAUUUAUUUCUGC